UGAGGAAUAUUGGUCAAUGGACGCAAGUCUGAACCAGCCACGUCGCGUGAAGGAAGACGGCCCUAUGGGUUGUAAACUUCUUUUGUAAGGGAAUAAAAGGAGUCACGAGUGACUUAUUGCAUGUACCUUACGAAUAAGGAUCGGCUAACUCCGUGCCAGCAGCCGCGGUAAUACGGAGGAUCCGAGCGUUAUCCGGAUUUAUUGGGUUUAAAGGGUGCGCAGGCGGGAGAUUAAGUCGGCGGUGAAAUUUUGCAGCUUAACUGUAAAAGUGCCAUCGAUACUGGUUUUCUUGAGUGUGGAUGAAGUAGGCGGAAUUUGUGGUGUAGCGGUGAAAUGCAUAGAUAUCACAAGGAACACCGAUUGCGCAGGCAGCUUACUAAACCAUAACUGACGCUCAGGCACGAAGGCGUGGGGAUCAAACAGGAUUAGAUACCCUGGUAGUCCACGCAGUAAACGAUGAUUACUGGCUGUUUGCGAUAUACAGUAAGCGGCUGAGCGAAAGCGUUAAGUAA
RNAcentral lists this ribosomal RNA (512 nucleotides) under uncultured bacterium. RNAcentral describes it as "bacterial SSU rRNA". It matches the Rfam family "Bacterial small subunit ribosomal RNA", at positions 355 to 867 of the family's 1533-position model. The record is from RNAcentral.